This 461-nucleotide ribosomal RNA is filed under the name uncultured bacterium. RNAcentral describes it as "partial 16S ribosomal RNA". It matches the Rfam family "Bacterial small subunit ribosomal RNA", at positions 338 to 795 of the family's 1533-position model. The record is from RNAcentral.
CCUACGGGUGGCAGCAGUGAGGAAUAUUCGUCAAUGGACGCAAGUCUGAACCAGCCAUGCCGCGUGCAGGAAGACGGCUCUAUGAGUUGUAAACUGCUUUUGUACGAGGGUAAACGCAGAUACGCGUAUCUUUCUGAAAGUAUCGUACGAAUAAGGAUCGGGUAAAUCCGUGCCAGCAGCCGCGGUAAUACGGAGGAUUCAAGCGUUAUCCGGAUUUAUUGGGUUUAAAGGGUGCGUGGGCGGUCGUAUUAGUGAGAGGUGAAAUCCCGAGGCUCAACUUCGGGAUUGCCUUUGAUACUGUUCGGCUAGGGAGUAGUUGCGGUAGGCGGAAUGUAUGGUGGAGCGGUGAAAUGCUUAGAGAUCAUACAGAAAACCGAUUGCGAAGGCAGCUUACCAAGCUACUUCUGACGUUGAGGCACGAAAGCGUGGGGAGCAAACAGGAUUAGAUACCCCGAGUAGUC